GUUGAACGCUGGCGGCAUGCCUUACACAUGCAAGUCGAACGGCAGCGCGGGAGCAAUCCUGGCGGCGAGUGGCGAACGGGUGAGUAAUACAUCGGAACGUGCCCAAUCGUGGGGGAUAACGCAGCGAAAGCUGUGCUAAUACCGCAUACGAUCUACGGAUGAAAGCAGGGGAUCGCAAGACCUUGCGCGAAUGGAGCGGCCGAUGGCAGAUUAGGUAGUUGGUGAGGUAAAGGCUCACCAAGCCUUCGAUCUGUAGCUGGUCUGAGAGGACGACCAGCCACACUGGGACUGAGACACGGCCCAGACUCCUACGGGAGGCAGCAGUGGGGAAUUUUGGACAAUGGGCGAAAGCCUGAUCCAGCCAUGCCGCGUGCAGGAUGAAGGCCUUCGGGUUGUAAACUGCUUUUGUACGGAACGAAACGGUCUUUUCUAAUAAAGAAGGCUAAUGACGGUACCGUAAGAAUAAGCACCGGCUAACUACGUG
RNAcentral lists this ribosomal RNA (484 nucleotides) under uncultured bacterium. RNAcentral's name for it is "partial 16S ribosomal RNA". It matches the Rfam family "Bacterial small subunit ribosomal RNA", at positions 28 to 507 of the family's 1533-position model. The record is from RNAcentral.